RNAcentral lists this ribosomal RNA (439 nucleotides) under uncultured bacterium. RNAcentral describes it as "partial 16S ribosomal RNA". It matches the Rfam family "Bacterial small subunit ribosomal RNA", at positions 339 to 795 of the family's 1533-position model. The record is from RNAcentral.
CUACGGGGUGCAGCAGUGGGGAAUAUUGCACAAUGGAGGAAACUCUGAUGCGGCAACGCCGCGUGGAGGAUGACACUUUUCGGAGCGUAAACUCCUUUUAUAUAGGAAGAAGAUGACGGUACUAUAUGAAUAAGCGCCGGCUAACUCCGUGCCAGCAGCCGCGGUAAUACGGAGGGCGCAAGCGUUACUCGGAAUCACUGGGCGUAAAGAGCGUGUAGGCGGAUUAAAAAGUCAGAGGUGAAAUCCUAUAGCUUAACUAUAGAACUGCUUCUGAAACUCUUAAUCUAGAAUAUGGGAGAGGUAGAUGGAAUUUCUGGUGUAGGGGUAAAAUCCGUAGAGAUCAGAAGGAAUACCGAUUGCGAAGGCGAUCUACUAGAACAUUAUUGACGCUGAGACGCGAAAGCGUGGGGAGCAAACAGGAUUAGAUACCCCAGUAGUC